UGAGGAAUAUUGGUCAAUGGGCGAAAGCCUGAACCAGCCAAGUCGCGUGAGGGAUUAAGGCCCUAUGGGUCGUAAACCUCUUUUGUCAGGGAGCAAGGCCAUUCACGUGUGGAUGGUUGGAGAGUACCUGAAGAAAAAGCAUCGGCUAACUCCGUGCCAGCAGCCGCGGUAAUACGGAGGAUGCGAGCGUUAUCCGGAUUUAUUGGGUUUAAAGGGUGCGUAGGCGGGACCUUAAGUCAGCGGUAAAAUUGCGGUGCUCAACGCCGUAGAGCCGUUGAAACUGGGGUUCUUGAGUGAGCGAGAAGUAUGCGGAAUGCGUGGCGUAGCGGUGAAAUGCAUAGAUAUCACGCAGAACCCCGAUUGCGAAGGCAGCAUACCGGCGCUCAACUGACGCUGAGGCACGAAAGUGCGGGUAUCGAACAGGAUUAGAUACC
Molecule: ribosomal RNA, 434 nt
Filed under: uncultured bacterium
Lineage: Bacteria
Description: bacterial SSU rRNA
Rfam family: Bacterial small subunit ribosomal RNA
Source: RNAcentral